Molecule: ribosomal RNA, 497 nt
Filed under: uncultured bacterium
Lineage: Bacteria
Description: partial 16S ribosomal RNA
Rfam family: Bacterial small subunit ribosomal RNA
Source: RNAcentral
GAUGAACGCUGGCGGCGUGCCUAAUACAUGCAAGUCGAGCGAACAGACGAGGAGCUUGCUCCUCUGACGUUAGCGGCGGACGGGUGAGUAACACGUGGAUAACCUACCUAUAAGACUGGGAUAACUUCGGGAAACCGGAGCUAGUACCGGAUAACAUGUUGAACCGCAUGGUUCAACAGUGAAAGACGGUCUUGCUGUCACUUAUAGAUGGAUCCGCGCCGCAUUAGCUAGUUGGUAAGGUAACGGCUUACCAAGGCAACGAUGCGUAGCCGACCUGAGAGGGUGAUCGGCCACACUGGAACUGAGACACGGUCCAGACUCCUACGGGAGGCAGCAGUAGGGAAUCUUCCGCAAUGGGCGAAAGCCUGACGGAGCAACGCCGCGUGAGUGAAGAAGGUCUUCGGAUCGUAAAACUCUGUUAUUAGGGAAGAACAAAUGUGUAAGUAACUAUGCACGUCUUGACGGUACCUAAUCAGAAAGCCACGGCUAACUACGUG